RNAcentral lists this transfer RNA (69 nucleotides) under Capros aper (boarfish). Its description in RNAcentral is "tRNA-His". It matches the Rfam family "tRNA". From Rfam's summary of the family: Transfer RNA (tRNA) molecules are approximately 80 nucleotides in length. Their secondary structure includes four short double-helical elements and three loops (D, anti-codon, and T loops). The record is from RNAcentral. Lineage: Eukaryota; Metazoa; Chordata; Actinopteri; Caproiformes; Caproidae.
GUAGACAUAGUUUAACAAAAACAUUAGAUUGUGAUUCUAAAAACGAGGGUUAAAGUCCCCCUGUCCACC